AAUACGACUUAGGGUCCUUCAAGAAGCGAGCCUAUCAUUUCCUUAAAGGCCGGCCACGCAUCUGUAUGUAUUAGCUGAAUAUUUAUUAAAGUAUUCUGAAUAUUUUUUUUUAAUAAAAAUCCCUGCACUUAAGACACUUUUUCAAUUUAGGGGGUGAAUAAAUUCGUUGUCAUUAUUAAGUUUUUACAUUUGCAAAUAAAAGUUUUACAGAGUGUGAACACAAAAAAAAAGUAUUUAUAUAGUUAUGCGGACGAAGAAUCUCGGGAACAGCUAUUAAUUAAUAUAAAUAUAUUUAGCAGAUUCAAAAAAAUCAAACGAAGCGUACCCGCAGGCGGCCCGCUGGCGCGUGGAAUAUUAGAGAUCAAGACGAGUGUGAAUUCUGCCGAUUUACGUUGUUUCUCUCUAAAGUGCGAGGAUUAAGAGAGGCGCAGCGGUCAAUGUGCCUCAAACAUGCUCUACAGUUACUAGAUAUAAUUAAGCACGAGAAUCGUGAUUUGUCCGGCGUAGAACUAGAAAUAAACCUCUCUGAUGCAGAAUUAAAAGAUUUGAUAUCAAAUAUGGAUUCAUAGAGGUAUUCUAAAGCCAUACCUAAUAGGAUAUUAGUAUUAAAGAUAAAAGACUUAAAUAUUUUCCUUACGAUCGACGCGCCUUGCGGGAUCAGUGUUACAGGAUAAAUAAACUAGAUGUAAUUCAACGCUAAUAUUCAAUCACUCUCAAUGUAACCCUACUUUACAGUAAGAGGUUCUAUUUUGUUAAGAUAUUUCACAAUCACGCAGUAUGUGCUCAAAUAUUGUAAAGUCCUAAAAAUAAAUUUAACUGGCGUAUCGUAUAUUAGACAAGUACAUUAAGAAUAAGUUAUAUUUAAAAUAUUAAACCAACAAAAAAUAAUUUUAAUUAAAACAAAACAAAUGUUGCUCGACAGUUACAUCGUUCCAUUCGCACAAACUGUAAGUUAACAGAACAGUACAUACGAAAAAGCGCUUUCGCUUGUUAAGGUUGAUUUUACAUUUUUGUCGUUUUAUUCUGGCUUGUGACACUGUACCCCAUUUUACAUAUGAUAAUUAAUGCCUCAGGUUUCUCUGAUUAUUAAUGAGGCACGAAUAUAACGCUUAUUGUCUGCAUGUGAUUUUAAUAUAGUAGUGAAUACAAAAAAUAAUAUUAAGAUAUAUUUAUGAGAAAGAAGAAUAAAAAAAAAAACAAAAAAAAAAGAAAAAAAGAUGAGAAAAAGAAAAUAAAAAAAACUGAAUGCAAACCUCCUAAUUCUUUUAUCAUUGUGGCGACCAUCUUCGUUCUUUUUAAUGAAGCCAUUUGGUCUGUAGUCUUUUUUUUUGUAAUAAAUAAUAACUACUUUUUUAUAUAAUCUGUAUCCAUCUAUACAUUCUAUUGAAUAGGAAGGAAUAGUAUAAAAUAAAAACAUCGCAGUACAGUACGUUUGUUAGACUGCAAUACUGCACAAAUAAACAUUUUAAAUGAAGAGUUCAAUUUGAUUAAAUUAUUAAUUAGUUUGCUUAAUGUGAUAUGAUUAAUAUACAAUUGAACACUUUCUUCAACAGAAGAAAGUGUAACAGUUUGAUUAAAUUAUUGGUUAAUGUGAUUUUAGUAAUAAUUUUAUUGAAGUUAAAAUUUGAUUGAUUUCUGAUUGAACACUAUCUUUAACAGAAGAAAGUGUUCCAAUUUGAUUAAUUUAUUGAAGUUAAAAACGUGUUUUUUUUUAAAUCGUGAAGACUUGUUUUCAGCAAGGUAAUGAUAUUGUAUUCGCAAAUCCUAGAUUUUUUCUUUGUUAUAUACAGAUACUCCAACAUUACUACAUAUAUUUUAAUUGUAAGAUGGAAAGUGCUGUUAAUUUUCUCUUCUCAACCUAGCCUUUUACAUUGAUUUAUAGAGCUACUAAGAUCCUUAUAGCAGUAGGGUCGGCGCCACAGGUUUUUGUCCUCCACAUAACACUAUCAUAUGUCAUCUUAGUCAUCACUUCCUUUUUGAUCAUGUCACCUUUCACGCAAUCCAUCCAUCUCUUUCUAGGUCUACCUCUACUGGUGUACCCUUCCAAACUCAUAAAUAACAUUCUAUUAACAUUCGAUUCAUCCCUCAUAACAUUAUGGCAGUUUAUUGACAUAAAAACUAUGCUCAUUAUUUGCAAAUUACGACCUGUGUGCCCGUAGUAAUUGUUUACUAUUUUUAUAUGGAUAUAUUAUACAACCAAAUACAAGGUAGACUUUGUACUUUUUUAUAUAUAAUUUCAGAAUUAACAUCAUUAUCUCCCCUACCUUAUACUACUGCCCUAGUGUCGGUUUUUCGUCCUCCAACUGCCACAGGGUCCUUGUAGUUCUAUAAAUAAAUAUCUUUGUUUGCAAUGCAUGUAUCGUAGAAUAAGUAUACCUAAUUGUACGUUUAAUAAAGGAAUUUAAUGUAAAA
Papilio polytes (common Mormon) is the source of this 2412-nucleotide long non-coding RNA. RefSeq lists it as uncharacterized. NCBI's taxonomy places the organism in Eukaryota, Metazoa, Arthropoda, Insecta, Lepidoptera, Papilionidae. The record is from RefSeq and is a predicted model, not a curated record. The transcript has 2 exons.